This 253-nucleotide ribosomal RNA is filed under the name uncultured bacterium. RNAcentral's name for it is "partial 16S ribosomal RNA". It matches the Rfam family "Bacterial small subunit ribosomal RNA", at positions 524 to 776 of the family's 1533-position model. The record is from RNAcentral.
GACGAAGGGGGCAAGCGUUGUUCGGAAUUACUGGGCGUAAAGGGCGCGUAGGCGGUCUUGUUAGUCAGGCGUGAAAGCCCUGGGCUUAACCUGGGAUGUGCGCUUGAUACUGCGAGGCUUGAGUGUGGGAGAGGUUGGUGGAAUUCCCAGUGUAGAGGUGAAAUUCGUAGAUAUUGGGAAGAACACCGGUGGCGAAGGCGGCCAACUGGACCACAACUGACGCUGAGGCGCGAAAGCGUGGGGAGCAAACAGG